GUGGAGAUGGGAUUGAGAAGGUUUGUGAAGUAGGUAACUCUGUUUUUAAGCCUAAGGAAAAAGGUUUUCCUGUUCAGAAAAAAAAAACUUCUGAGUUUGAUGCAAAGAGAAUAGAAAAAUCCAGAAAGGAGAGUUUUUAUCUCCUGACACUUUAAGGACCUAUUUAAGCUUCAAGGUGAAGAUAAGUAGAAUGAUCUACAUACAGUAGACAUCCAGGUAACACAUCUCUCAAAAAAAGUAUAUAUAUUUUUUUUUUACAUUCUUUAUUUUAUUUGUGCAGUAGGUGAC
Molecule: non-coding RNA, 288 nt
Organism: Pelobates cultripes (western spadefoot toad)
Lineage: Eukaryota; Metazoa; Chordata; Amphibia; Anura; Pelobatidae
Source: the annotation of a GenBank genome assembly